UCUUCCUCCACUUCAAGAAGCAUCUCCGUGGUACUGUUAUCACUUGUGUCCAUAGGACAAGUUGAGCCUAGAGGCAGUAUCCAGUGAAGGCUUUUCUUUCAACAACCUUCAAUGUUCAAAGCAGGUUACAUGAGGUAUCUGUUCUUGAGCAGAGAGAGAGAGAUGAAUAUUGUGCUACGUAAGACUUCAUGGCCAUCCACAGAGAAUCUAAGACAUCAGUAUGACACUGACAAAGUACUGAAAGUGAUGCACAGGUAACAGAUGAAAACGCUGAAAAACCACAUCAUUCAUAACUUGUUUGAUUUGAGGCACACAGUUAUGAUAACGACAACUGGAGUCAUACUGUGAUCUGCACGCUUUCAACACCUCUCUCAGAUAAUUUUUAUUGCUUUAUUACUUUGGCUACUUUGUUUAGUAUCAGUGUAGUUUCUUGCUACAGCUUGCAAUAUUUUCAUUAGAAUGGAAAAUGUUCAUCAGUAAAUUUGGUACUCUUUCUUAUUAUAAAACUUGCUGUGUUUCCUCAUAUAUUAAACACAGUCCAUGCAGGUCA
Oxyura jamaicensis (ruddy duck) is the source of this 550-nucleotide long non-coding RNA. RefSeq lists it as uncharacterized. The record is from RefSeq and is a predicted model, not a curated record. NCBI's taxonomy places the organism in Eukaryota, Metazoa, Chordata, Aves, Anseriformes, Anatidae. The transcript has 3 exons.